UGGGAGUGACAGUCAACUUGCAAUAUAGGUCGUGCUUGGUUGGCAAGCCUUUCUAGAAAGUAGAGGACGUCAUUCAGUCAUCUCUUGAUGUAGUCUUAGAUGGACUCAUCAGGCUUCUUGCACAGGUUAAACAGGCAGUCAACUUAUUUUUUAUUUACUGUCAUACAGGAGGUGCACUCUUUAGUGAAGACAAAGGUCAGCUCCUUGAAGCUG
RNAcentral lists this long non-coding RNA (213 nucleotides) under Prunus persica (peach). RNAcentral's name for it is "long non-coding RNA (PPER_LNC008184)". The record is from RNAcentral. Lineage: Eukaryota; Viridiplantae; Streptophyta; Magnoliopsida; Rosales; Rosaceae.